RNAcentral lists this ribosomal RNA (472 nucleotides) under uncultured Neisseria sp. RNAcentral's name for it is "bacterial SSU rRNA". It matches the Rfam family "Bacterial small subunit ribosomal RNA", at positions 56 to 517 of the family's 1533-position model. Lineage: Bacteria; Pseudomonadati; Pseudomonadota; Betaproteobacteria; Neisseriales; Neisseriaceae. The record is from RNAcentral.
UGCAAGUCGGACGGCAGCACAGAGAAGCUUGCUUCUUGGGUGGCGAGUGGCGAACGGGUGAGUAAUAUAUCGGAACGUACCGAGUAAUGGGGGAUAACUAAUCGAAAGAUUAGCUAAUACCGCAUAUUCUCUGAGGAGGAAAGCAGGGGACCUUCGGGCCUUGCGUUAUUCGAGCGGCCGAUAUCUGAUUAGCUAGUUGGUGGGGUAAAGGCCUACCAAGGCGACGAUCAGUAGCGGGUCUGAGAGGAUGAUCCGCCACACUGGGACUGAGACACGGCCCAGACUCCUACGGGAGGCAGCAGUGGGGAAUUUUGGACAAUGGGCGCAAGCCUGAUCCAGCCAUGCCGCGUGUCUGAAGAAGGCCUUCGGGUUGUAAAGGACUUUUGUCAGGGAAGAAAAAGCUGUUGCUAAUAUCGACAGCUGAUGACGGUACCUGAAGAAUAAGCACCGGCUAACUACGUGCCAGCAGCCG